RNAcentral lists this long non-coding RNA (921 nucleotides) under Erythranthe guttata (spotted monkey flower). Its description in RNAcentral is "long non-coding RNA (EGUT_LNC003721)". Lineage: Eukaryota; Viridiplantae; Streptophyta; Magnoliopsida; Lamiales; Phrymaceae. The record is from RNAcentral.
UUAGAUCUGCAAGUAUCAAUCGUAGUAGUUGUAUUAAAUAUUAAUAUUCCAAGUAGCUAGAUUGCCAAGUGAAAUGACGAAAGUACCCCAAAUUCCACUUAUAAAUAACCCACAGUUGUUUAAUUUCUGAAACAAUUCAUUUUCCCCUCUACACCAAUUCUCCGCCCCUGAGGGGGGCUUAGCUUUCUCUCUCUUCUCCCUUUGCGCCGAUCACUUUCUCUCUCUUCAAUCCUUCCAUAGCUAUAUACUUUUUCAAGGUCCUCUAAUGGCAGCAACUGCACCUUCAAACACAUCCACAUACCAGAAGGCCCCGUCGAGGAGGGGCCGUGUCAAAGCUCAAAUUUUUGGGAGCUUGGCCGGAAACCUCUACACCGCCGCCUCUAAAACCGCGGAGGCGCUCGGUAAAAUCAAAUUAGCCUCCGCCUCCACCUCCGCCGCCGCCGCCGUCGACGAAAUCUCCCCAUCCGCCAGCCCACCGCCGAGCGGACCGUUACCCUGAUCGAUCAGUCAGGCUUGGAACGAUCUGAUUGGAUGGAUAUGUUUCAUGAUCAGUGAAAUUGGGCAUGCUUUUUUUGUUGCCUUUUUCAUUUGUGUGUUCUGUAUAAUAUUAUUAUUAUUAAUUAAUUAAUUAAUUAAUAGUUUGAAUAAAAGAAAAAGGCAGUGUUGAAAUACAGUAACCGUAGUUGGGUUUUCGGGUCGGGUCGGGUCAGAGCUUUUGUUUUAUUAGUGUUGGCUCUGAAAGUAAUUUGGGUUUUUUAUUUUGUGUGGAAUUUAUAAUUUGUAUGGCCUCUUCUUCCUACAUAUAUCAUCUCUCAAAGUUUUUUAGAUUGGAGAUGGUAUUUUUGUGGGUUUCUCUUUCUUGUUUGUAUCUCUUGUAUAAUAAUACUAUUUAUUAAUAAAAAUCCAGUGUUCUCUCUCUCU